GGUCGAUUAGCUUAGUUGGUAGAGCGUGGUACUAAUAGUUUGACUGUCAAUGCCGAGGUCAUGGGUUCGAGCCCCAUAUGGACCA
RNAcentral lists this transfer RNA (85 nucleotides) under Cronartium quercuum f. sp. fusiforme G11. It matches the Rfam family "tRNA". Rfam says of the family: Transfer RNA (tRNA) molecules are approximately 80 nucleotides in length. The record is from Rfam by way of RNAcentral. Lineage: Eukaryota; Fungi; Basidiomycota; Pucciniomycetes; Pucciniales; Coleosporiaceae.